Molecule: ribosomal RNA, 112 nt
Filed under: Periophthalmus magnuspinnatus
Lineage: Eukaryota; Metazoa; Chordata; Actinopteri; Gobiiformes; Gobiidae
Source: RNAcentral
UUUAGCGGCCAUUCAUUGCCAAUGCCCGAUCUGGUCUGAUCUCAGAAGCUAAACAGGGCUGGGCCUGGUUAGUACUUGGAUGGGACACCACUGGGAACAGGUGCCGCAGUGG